GUCGAGAAUCUUCCGCAAUGCGCGAAAGCGUGACGGAGCGACACCGCGUGAUGGAUGAAGUCCUUCGGGGCGUAAACAUCUUUUAUAAAGGAGGAAAUUUUUGACGUUACUUUAUGAAUAAGGGGCUCCCAAUCUCGUGCCAGCAGGAGCGGUAAUACGAGAGCCUCAAGCGUUAUCCGGAAUCAUUGGGCGUAAAGGGUGCGUAGGUGGUUUGAUUAGUCUCCCGUUAAAACUUCGAGCUUAACUCGAAAAGAGCGGGGGAAACGGUCAAACUAGAGUAUGUGAGAGGUGUGUAGAACUCAUGGUGUAGGGGUGAAAUCCGUUGAUAUCAUGGGGAACACCAAAAGCGAAGGCAGCACACUGGCACAUCACUGACACUGAGGCACGAAACCUAAGGUAGCGAAUGGGAUUAGAUACCCCAGUAGUCC
RNAcentral lists this ribosomal RNA (428 nucleotides) under uncultured bacterium. Its description in RNAcentral is "partial 16S ribosomal RNA". It matches the Rfam family "Bacterial small subunit ribosomal RNA", at positions 354 to 796 of the family's 1533-position model. The record is from RNAcentral.